UGGGUAUAUACCCAAAGGACUAUAAAUCAUGCUGUUAUAAAGACACAUGCACACGUACGUUUAUUGUGGCACUAUUCACAAUAGCAAAGACUUGGAAUUAACCCAAGUGUCCAACAAUGAUAGACUGGAUUAAGAAAAUGUGGUACAUAUACACCAUGGAAUACUAUGCAGCCAUAAAAAAUGAUGAGUUCACGUCCUUUGUAGGGACAUGGAUGAAAUUGGAAGUCAUCAUUCUCAGUAAACUAUCAGAAGGACAAAAACCAAACACCCCAUGUUCUCAUUCAUAGAUGGGAAUUGAAUAAUGAGAACACAUGGACACAGGAAGGGGAA
Molecule: long non-coding RNA, 330 nt
Filed under: Homo sapiens (human)
Lineage: Eukaryota; Metazoa; Chordata; Mammalia; Primates; Hominidae
Description: HSALNT0013753
Source: RNAcentral